Molecule: ribosomal RNA, 445 nt
Filed under: Gliomastix tumulicola
Lineage: Eukaryota; Fungi; Ascomycota; Sordariomycetes; Hypocreales; Bionectriaceae
Description: partial large subunit ribosomal RNA
Rfam family: Eukaryotic large subunit ribosomal RNA
Source: RNAcentral
ACGGCGAGUGAAGCGGCAACAGCUCAAAUUUGAAAUCUGGCCUCUGGCCCGAGUUGUAAUUUGCAGAGGAUGUUUCUGGCGAGGUGCCUUCCGAGUUCCCUGGAACGGGACGCCAUAGAGGGUGAGAGCCCCGUACGGUUGGUCGCUAAGCCUCUGUGAAACUCCUUCGACGAGUCGAGUAGUUUGGGAAUGCUGCUCUAAAUGGGAGGUGUACGCCUUCUUAAGCUAAAUACCGGCUAGAGACCGAUAGCGCACAAGUAGAGUGAUCGAAAGAUGAAAAGCACUUUGAAAAGAGGGUUAAAAAGUACGUGAAAUUGUUGAAAGGGAAGCGCUCUUGACCAGACUUGCGCCGGUUGAUCAUCCGCCGUUCUCGGUGGUGCACUCUGCCGGCUCAGGCCAGCAUCAGUUCGGUCCGGGGGAUAAAGGCUUUCGGAAUGUGGCUCUC